Molecule: long non-coding RNA, 230 nt
Filed under: Lathyrus oleraceus (garden pea)
Lineage: Eukaryota; Viridiplantae; Streptophyta; Magnoliopsida; Fabales; Fabaceae
Description: Pisum sativum (pea) long non-coding RNA (PSAT_LNC017564)
Source: RNAcentral
AAAAGAGAAGAAAAACAAAAGAGAAAAAUGCACUUGCCGAGACCAAAGACUCUAACAGAUAUAAAAUGCUCGAAAAAUUUGAGUAGAAAAAGAGUCAAAAGAGUGAAAUUAACCCCCAGAGUAUACGUGAUGCACGAGAAAAAAAAAGAGAAAGAAAAAUCACACAACAUGACUACCGAGUUCAAAACCCUUUGUUAUCCAAUUUUUUUGUUUAUCCCACCGUACCCAAG